CACCCGAUCGCUGGCUCUCUCUCUAAACCCUUCACUCUCAAAUAUUACGAUUCAACCUCAGAGUGAUUUCGAUUUCGAAGUUCUUUCUCUCUCUCUCGAUUUGGAACCUCCACCGCCACCACCAUCUGCAUCAUUGACUAAGGCACCAUGGCAAUUGAGUACCUCGAGGACAACAAGACUCAGACGGAGAUCAUUGAUAUCCUUCACAACACCUAUGCUCGGCUGAUCCCUUUUGAGCAAAAGUUCAGUUGGAGAUAAUUGAGCUGCUUCUGAAAGCAUGUGAUGCUGUGGAGAACUAUGUCAAAAAGGUUAGAAACAUUUUAGUAGCUUAAGUAAGAUGAACAAUCCAUUUUGUGACUCCAAUUUAUGCUCCUCUCUUUUUUUGAUUCUGUUAUUUCAAUUCU
Molecule: non-coding RNA, 404 nt
Organism: Camellia sinensis
Lineage: Eukaryota; Viridiplantae; Streptophyta; Magnoliopsida; Ericales; Theaceae
Source: RefSeq, a predicted model, not a curated record